UAGUUUGAUCCUGGCUCAGGAUGAACGCUAGCGGCAGGCUUAACACAUGCAAGUCGAGGGGCAGCAGUCCCGCUUUCGGGCGGGAGCUGGCGACCGGCGCACGGGUGCGUAACGCGUAUACAACCUACCUUAUAGAGGGGGAUAGCCCGGGGAAACCCGGAUUAAUACCCCACAGUAUUAGAGAAUAGCAUUAUUUUCUGAUUAAACAUUUAUGGCUAUAAGAUGGGUAUGCGUCCUAUUAGUUAGUUGGAAAGGUAACGGCUCACCAAGACUUCGAUAGGUAGGGGUCCUGAGAGGGAGAUCCCCCACACUGGUACUGAGACACGGACCAGACUCCUACGGGAGGCAGCAGUGAGGAAUAUUGGACAAUGGGCGGGAGCCUGAUCCAGCCAUGCCGCGUGCAGGAAGACGGCCCUAUGGGUUGUAAACUGCUUUUAUACGGGAAGAAACACCCUCACGCGUGAGGGCUUGACGGUACCGUAAGAAUAAGGAUCGGCUAACUCCGUGCCAGCAGCCGCGGUAAUACGGAGGAUCCAAGCGUUAUCCGGAAUCAUUGGGUUUAAAGGGUCCGUAGGCGGGACAAUCAGUCAGCGGUGAAAGUCUGUGGCUCAACCAUAGAAUUGCCAUUGAUACUGUUGUCCUUGAGUGUUUAUGAAGUGGUUGGAAUAUGUAGUGUAGCGGUGAAAUGCAUAGAUAUUACAUAGAACACCGAUUGCGAAGGCAGAUCACUAAUAAAAUACUGACGCUGAUGGACGAAAGCGUAGGUAGCGAACAGGAAUAGAUACCCUGGUAGUCUAC
Molecule: ribosomal RNA, 798 nt
Filed under: uncultured bacterium
Lineage: Bacteria
Description: bacterial SSU rRNA
Rfam family: Bacterial small subunit ribosomal RNA
Source: RNAcentral